AGCUUCCCCGCCAGCCUGCCGCCUCCCUUCGCGCUCCUCUUCUUCUUCAGCCCACCGCCGCGACACGGAUCGCUCGCCCCCGCUUCUCAACAAAAGUGAUCCCUUGCCACCUGGCCCUGGAGUGCCGGUGAAAUGAGGCCAGGCCUGCGCCUAGUUGGCAAGCCGGGUAGAUAGAAUGACCAGGCAACUGUUUCAGAACACAACUUACUGUGGAGAACAUGUGGGAGGAGCCAGCUAUGAGAUGCCAACUGCCAUUGUGAGAGCUCCAUCUUCUUUUGUAGCGUCUCCUCUCAUGCAGUUGUGGAACAAGUUGCAGCAAAGGAUGCAGGACAGACGACUGAGAGGAUAUGAAUACAGACACAUGAAAGACAAUGAAAUCCAGGAUGUAUAAACACAAACAAACAAAACCCUUCACUGCAGCACUGACUCAAAAACAGAGCACACAAAGCAAAAGAUGGAAGACGUUUGAUGGGACAAUACUUUUAGACAUUUCCAUAGCUGUUUCUGAUGUUGCAAUUUCCUGCAUAAAUGCACACUGUUAAGCUUCUUUGAUGAGGAAAUAACUAGCGUCAACAAGUACCAUUCCUGUGUUUGUUGCAAGCUUGACGUGGGUAUGCAAGAUGCACUGCUUGCAAAAGCAAAUGAUAGCUGAGUGUUUGUUGUCAGGGCCUCAGGUAGCAGAAUCCCUGGACACACACCUUCUUGCCUCCGGAGAAGCAGCUACAAUGGAUUCUCCAUUCUGGCAAGAUCUCACAAGAACCCUACAAGAUCACACAGGUACCUCCAGAGGCUUCCGUGACUUCUUGUGGGGCUCUCAUGAGAUCUCACCAGAAGCUCUGUGACCCCAGUAAGCGAGGCUUUGGCAAGGGCAGCAAAGAGGUUGGUGUGCAGUGUGUGCACUUUCCUGUUUCACCUCAGGCAGUGAAAUGGGAUGAGCUGCCUCUGCUUGUUGCCAUGAGCCAUCUAACACCACAGACAUUAGAUAAAGCUCCCUAUGGUUUCUUGCUAGGUGAACAAUCUCAGGAUAAUGCCAAGUUCCUAGAUAUCCAGACAGGAAAAGUUUGCAAACACAGGAAGAACUCAUAAAUCCAAGCAGCAUCCAACUAAACAGAUCUUGUAGUGCAAGAACAUUUGGCUCUGCAAAGGAACUUUCCCACCCUCUUCUCUCACCUGCAUGUACACAUACUCCCUAAAUAUGUUCUGCAUGUAACCCCAAGGCUUUGGGGAGGGCACAGGGAGCACAUAGGGAGAAGAGAGGAGAGGGGAAUUUAUAUUAUGCAUGCAGAAAUCAUUGCACUAGCAUAUCUGUUUAAUAGCAUUUCAUACAUAAUUCUUCGUCUUGGUCACAAAGAAGAACUUGCCUCAUUAAUCAAGGAGUAGUGUCCCUUUAUCCUACACAGAACCCCACGAUCUAUAUGCCGCCUUCCAGAAGCCCUCCACAAUACAAGGUACAAUAUUUAGGAGAAAAGUUGAAGCUGAAGCUUCAGUGAGGCCAAAAUACUUGAAUGGCAACUCAAUUUCAAUAUGCUAAGUUAGUCUGAAGGCACACAGCCAAGGUAGAUGUUUAUGGAAUUGUUGUUGUUUUUAUUUUGAUUAUGCAUUUUGUGGUUUUAUAUUUUGAUUUUAUUCUGUGAACCGCCCUGAGACCUGCAUGUAUAGGGAGGUAUAUAAAUUCAAUAAAUAAUUAUUAUAAUAAUACUGCUAAAAAGCAGCAGUUGCUGGCCACAGUUGAAACAAUUCUGGGCUUCCUUACCUCCUGCUCUUCUUCAUUCCUUACAGUGCAUUCCUAAACAAGUCUGUAAGCCACACUGAGUUAAAUGGGACACUCUCAGGUAAGGGUGUAUAGGAUUCAACCUCAGUCUAUGUGCAUUCUGCUCUACUGCUUUCCUUACUUCCCCCAGGAAACCUCAAGCCUAAAUUUUUGUUGCCCUACAAACCUGAAUCCCAAAUCAGAAUAAGCCGCUCCGCAAGUGCUCCCAAUAUGUGUGCAGCAUCUGUUAGUGGUCAGGGCAUAACUGAACAGCACUGCACAUAAUGUUUCUCAAAAAUAUUACAUUUAUAUUCUUGUUUAAAAAAUGCAAAACAUUUCAUGCAGCAGAUAUAUAACCAUUAUUCGCUAAAUAUAUUAAUUGCAUAAUGGUCUAUUCUGCACCCAUGAGGCUCAAAGCUAAAGAUAAAAUACAUCUUCUUAUUCUGCGAUUUCAUAAUGAGUUAGGUGUGGUUCUAAUAUAAUUAGUUUUAUCAAAAGAUUUGUGUGGGGUUAUUUACUCAAAUACUGUGAGAAAUCAAAAGCCCAGCUUAUUUAAUGUAUGUUUUAAAGUGUAUUUGAAUUUCCAUUGGUGUAUAAACUUGGUGAUAAGCUAAACAUAAUAAAAUGUACAACUUCUA
Non-coding RNA from Podarcis muralis (Common wall lizard), 2388 nucleotides. Lineage: Eukaryota; Metazoa; Chordata; Lepidosauria; Squamata; Lacertidae. The record is from RefSeq and is a predicted model, not a curated record.